AGAGUUUGAUUCUGGCUCAGGAUGAACGCUAGCUACAGGCUUAACAUAUGCAAGUCGAGGGGCAGCGAGAGGAAAGCUUGCUUCCUGUCGGCGACCGGCGCACGGGUGAGUAACGCGUAUCCAACCUUCCCCUUAGUAGGGCAUAGCCCGUAGAAAUGCGGAUUAAUACCCUAUGUUUUCCGAUGAGGACAUCUGAGCUGGAACAAAGGUUUACCGCUAAGGGAUGGGGAUGCGUCUGAUUAGGCAGCAGGCGGGGUAACGGCCCACCUGGCCGACGAUCAGUAGGGGUUCUGAGAGGAAGGUCCCCCACAUUGGAACUGAGACACGGUCCAAACUCCUACGGGAGGCAGCAGUGAGGAAUAUUGGUCAAUGGGCGCGAGCCUGAACCAGCCAAGUAGCGUGCAGGAUGACGGCCCUAUGGGUUGUAAACUGCUUUUAUGCGGGGAUAAAGUCACCCACGUGUGGGUGUUUGUAGGUACCGCAUGAAUAAGGACCGGCUAAUUCCGUGCCAGCCGCCGC
RNAcentral lists this ribosomal RNA (519 nucleotides) under uncultured bacterium. Its description in RNAcentral is "bacterial SSU rRNA". It matches the Rfam family "Bacterial small subunit ribosomal RNA", at positions 8 to 518 of the family's 1533-position model. The record is from RNAcentral.